CCAAUUUUAUAAUUAUAUCAGGUAUUCACAUCAUUAGUAGUACAAAAUCUCAAAGCCGAACCGUUGAUGCCAAUCAAACUUUCCCAUUAACAUUGCAAAAUGAAGGCAAGUGUCCAGUUUUGAUCUAGUUAUUUUGGGGUCUCAUGUGAUUCAAAGUCCAAAUUGUGAAGUCCAUGGGUUAACACUGGUCCAUAAAAAUCAAGGUCCAAAGUGAAGCUCCUGCAAAAACCCUAAAUGGAACCAUCAUGCCUCUGCUCGAGUUCGAGAUGGUGAAGCUAGUGGAGGCCCAAUAGAGAGAAACCAAGUUUGACCGCUGUCUACCAGUGGUAGCCACAGUAAACUGUGCUGACAUCACAGGGGCAAAGAACCUGUACAUUAUGUCAGUGAAGUGAAUAAGGGUCGUUUGAACAGAUUGCCAUCUGCUUGUGUGGGUGCCAUUGUCUUGGGUACUGUUAAAAGUGCAAGGCCGACGCUGUUAUUGUGAGACAUCGCCAACCACAGCAAAUAGAGAGGAUAUAAUCUAUAUGUACUUUGGAGGUAUUUUACUCAUAAUGUGAUUCUAUUCUGCUGUCUUUCCAGUUCCUUUCGUUUCUUGCUAUUCUACAAUUUUUUUUUUAUUUUGGGAUGGAGCUGUAGUUUAUGUUUAUCAUGAUGGAUCUCAGAUCGGCCAGUUGGCCCUUUUCUCCUCUUACUGUUAACUUGUUUUUGUCAUUGUUUAGAGGCAUCUUUUUGUAAUUGGGAAUGAAUUUUAAUGAUGGUGACUAGGGUGUUGCUGAUUUAGUUGUUUCCUGAUGUUUACUUAUUGGCUAAUGUGCAUAUAAUGAGUAGUACUCUUAAAUCCAGAUAUGCUGAUAUACUUGGAUUUUUGUUGUUUGGGAUUUGCAUUGAGAAAUAUUUCUUCUUCACCUUCUUUAUGUAUGGUUGUGAAAGUUGUUUUCUUUGGAAACUCUGCUGGUAAUGUAGUGUGGAGAAUUUUAUAUGUUGUCUCCACAUGUCCCAUCACCAGCUAUACCAAUAUUCUCAACCUUCCCUUACCCGGAUGAUAACAUUCUUAUUUAUUGUCCUUGUCAGGGUUGGGACAUCUACCAACUUAUUUGAACUGGGAAGAUUUGGUAGUAUGGGAUACCUAAUCCCAUAUUGAGUAAUAUGUUAUGCUUAAUGAGGUAUCUAAGUUAGUUGGUUCUUUCACCUCAAUAGCCAGCUUUUGGAGUAGGGUUUCUCAAUCCACUUAGGCACCCAUCAGAGUCCUACUCCUUUUGAAAUCAAAGUGAUUGGUCAUGCUCCAUUUUGAUUGACUUUUUGGUAUCAAAUGUUAGCGGUUCUUUGUUUCUCUCGUGAUUAAUCAGUUAUUGUCUUUGGGGUCCAUGUUGGAAAUUAUGUGGGGGCUUACAUUAAUUAUUUUAUUUAUUUGUUAAAAUGGGUUAAUGCUUUAAUGUUUGGUCCCUAAAAUAUUAAUGCCCAAUUAUGUUAUGUGAUCAUAUACUUGAUGGGCCUAACACGCGAUUUAUUAAGUCUGGUAAGUAGCUAAAGUAUGGGUCGUUAACCUUACUAAAGCUUGUAGUGGGUGAGUCCAGUAAGGAUUAUUAAAUAAGCUAGGUCCCAUUUCUAACCCUAAUUCAAUGUGUGCUUCCCCACCAAAAACCACAUAAUUCUUAAAGGGUAUGGAAAACCUAAGUUGACUAGCUCACGUAGCUUAGUGACUAUGGUCAAAUCAAGCACGCAAUUCUAUCCUAUAUAUUUGUUUGGCUUCUUAACAUAUACUCCAUUAGAUCCCUAUCUAAUAUGUUAAUUAGAUCUUACAGUCCAGACAUUAGUCAGGCAUCCUUCGUGACUUGAAAUGGGUGAUACCGUUACGAGUCUGGUAAACUAAUUGAGUCCAUCGUUACAGAUAUGCUGAUUCUUCAAGUGCUCACAUCUGCUCCAUUAGGGCCCUGCAAGGAUUUUUUUUACCAAUUGCUUGAUUUUUGUCAAUCUGUAUGUUCUCUAUUAAAUGAAAAUUUCAUUUGAUAGAUUGUUGGUGCUAUCUUUCUGUGCUGUAUGUAGUUGUCCAAUAUUUGAUAUAUUUACUAAUUAGAUAUGCUUGAGAAAAAAACGUUUCCUUUUAGGUGGUUUUCUUUUGCAGACAAUGCCGGUGUUAUCACAAAUGAAAGGUACAAAUUUCAUUUAGUUGUAAUAUAUUUAUAUAUAUAUAUAUAUUCACUGCCUGAAAUAAUGGAAAUUUUUUAUUUAGAUUCUUUUGUUGGAUGCUUACCUUUGUAAUCCCCUUGAUCUCCCAAUCUCUUACCUGCUUGAACUCUAUGGUUUUAAAUACUGGAGUAAAUCACACUGGUCUCAUUAUAAUAGAGUACAAUAGUGUUGUAUAAUCUAUAUAGCCGAUCCCCCUUGCAAGGGUGAAUGCAAACCAAACAAUUACAUUGCCCUUUUGGAAUUUUUUUUAAUGGAUAAAGGUGCAUUUUUGUCCUUGAAGUAUUUUCUGAUAAGCACUUAGUAUCAUAAGCUAUUUGUUGAAGUAAUUUUGCCCAUAAAGUAAUUAAAACGAAGCAUUUUUGUCAUUGCUGUCAAAUUUCUAGCAUUAACCGCUAGAAAUAUUAACUGAGACUCUAAUGUUGACCAUUAUAAAAUUUAACGAAAAAGGUAAAAAUGUUUUGUUUUAAUUAUUUUAAGAACAAAAUUAUUUCAAUCAAUAGUUUAGGAUAUCUUUUUUUCUUUUUAAUUUUACUUGUGAAAAACAAAAACAAAAAAAAUUAGCGUUAGCCCCUUCAUAUUUUAGUAGUUUUCAACUCCCCCCCCC
Long non-coding RNA from Prosopis cineraria, 2791 nucleotides. RefSeq lists it as uncharacterized. NCBI's taxonomy places the organism in Eukaryota, Viridiplantae, Streptophyta, Magnoliopsida, Fabales, Fabaceae. The record is from RefSeq and is a predicted model, not a curated record. The transcript has 2 exons.